AGCGAACGCUGGCGGCGUGCUUAACACAUGCAAGUCGAACGGAUCCGGGGGGCAACCCUCGGAUUAGUGGCGAACGGGUGAGUAACACGUGGGUAAUCUCCCCCCGAGUGAGGGAUAAGCUUGCGAAAGCGGGUCUAAUACCGCAUGAAACUCCGGGACGUCGGUCUUCGGAGUCAAAGCCGUAAGGCGCUUGGGGAUGAGCCUGCGUCCUAUUAGCUAGUUGGUAGGGUAAUGGCCUACCAAGGCUAAGACGGGUAGCUGGUCUGAGAGGAUGAUCAGCCACACUGGCACUGGAACACGGGCCAGACUCCUACGGGAGGCAG
Molecule: ribosomal RNA, 323 nt
Filed under: uncultured Nitrospirota bacterium
Lineage: Bacteria; Pseudomonadati; Nitrospirota
Description: bacterial SSU rRNA
Rfam family: Bacterial small subunit ribosomal RNA
Source: RNAcentral